UAAAUACUCUUAGUUUUUGUACAUUAUUGUCACUAAAUUUUAUUCUUGUAAAAGUAAUUUGUUUCACGCCGUUGUAUGUAAGAUUUUCUGUAGACCUUCAUUCUAGAAAUAUCCUGUUGUACGAGCCUCGUAUUUAGUACAUUAAAAGAUGUAACACAAAGAAAAAACUAUUUGCGUGUAAGAUAAAGAUAUAAGGCCACUAAGCGCAGAUUCUCAUUGGCUGGAAGAGAUCACGUGGUCCACUGAAUAACAGUAUAUAAAUCGCCGUUCUGUCUGAUUCAAUAUCAGAUAUUUCCCCAGCGAAACAUCAGACUCUUACUUAACAUGGGCAAGGAAAGGACCAGCGUCAACAUGGCCGUCGUCGGCUACUACUAGACCCUCCAUCAGCAGAUGGACGGAUAGUACAACACGGAAUUGACCCGGCUUCUGUACAUGGACACGCUCUGGACACGGACAACACGAUCUCUCCCGGAUCACACCUCAUUCUAUUUGUAGGCCUACAUUGACCAAAUAAAUCAAAAUUUACCGAU
This is a long non-coding RNA of Homalodisca vitripennis (glassy-winged sharpshooter), 530 nucleotides long. RefSeq lists it as uncharacterized. The record is from RefSeq and is a predicted model, not a curated record. NCBI's taxonomy places the organism in Eukaryota, Metazoa, Arthropoda, Insecta, Hemiptera, Cicadellidae. The transcript is spliced from 2 exons.